Molecule: long non-coding RNA, 594 nt
Filed under: Taeniopygia guttata (zebra finch)
Lineage: Eukaryota; Metazoa; Chordata; Aves; Passeriformes; Estrildidae
Description: lncRNA (ENSTGUG00000026588.1)
Source: RNAcentral
CAUUGGUUUAAGACACUGUUGUCUCCUGGCCUCUUGUUCCUGCUGCUCUGCUGGCACAGCCACUCCUGUGGUUGGGAACCAGGUGGGAGGAGCCAUCCGGCUUGGGAAGGGGAAAAAAAGGUUUCAUGUGUUUGGUUUUUUUGUUUGUUUGUUUGUUUAAAGCAGGAAAGUUCCUCUGUCUGGUUCAGUGCCUGGUCACAGCGAGUUUUCCUGGCACAAGUGAGUGGAAAGAGCACUUUGGCAUGGAGAGGAAAUGAGCAGUGGAGGGUGAAAGGUGUCCUGGCAGGCACUUCCCAUCUGUGUCCUUAUCUCCCAGGCUCUUCAAAGGCUCCCCAGAUACCGUGUCCUGCAAGUUCAAAACCCUGCAGCCCACUGGGACUGGAAAUGUGUGAAGGAGCACAAGAAUUGGAGUUGAAUGACAGUGUGGCUGCCUGGCUGUUACAAUUUAUCAUGAACGCAUCUCACUUCACUUCUGGCUCCUCUGACGGAAGGAACAGCCGGUCUCCAGGAGGUCAAAGACAUUAUUUUCCCCUAGUCUUUCUCAGUUUCCAGCGCAUAUUUGUCACUUUGAAAAAGCAUGAAUUCUGGAUUUGA